RNAcentral lists this non-coding RNA (414 nucleotides) under Pan troglodytes (chimpanzee). The record is from RNAcentral. Lineage: Eukaryota; Metazoa; Chordata; Mammalia; Primates; Hominidae.
AGUGGAAACAGACCAGAUCUCAGCUUAUCUGGCUGGAAGGAAAGCAAAAAAAACAAAGCAAAACAAACCAAAAAAUCCUAAGAAACAAAAGACAGAUUCAAGCCAAUCUGUGAUUUGUAAAAUAAGCAAGGUGCAGGCUUGUGUGCCUUCAGCUGAAUGUAAGAAGUCCAGCUAUCAUGAGGUCUCCAUGUGGACAGACAACUCAGAGGAAUGAGAGAGAGAGAGACCUGAGCAGCUAGCAGUGCCAGCACCUAGAUGUUUGAAUCUUCCCAGCCCAGAUAUAUGAUGGAAAAAACUUCAGGAUGCCCAUUGGACAGCAACCACAUGAAAGACCCGGAGUGAGAACUCCUAAGCUGAGAUCUCACUCUUUCAGACUCCAGAGCCAAAUAAAUAAUUAUUAAUGUUUAAGCCACU